CUGAGGAACUCAACCCUUGAGAAAUGAUCAAAAUAUCCUUCGAGUCGUAGAAGGAGGAUCUCCAUGGAUCAUUCGGUCACCCUCCACGCUAGUAUGGGUACUGAAUGUUUUAUUGUUAGGAAAAGAAGAGGAAAAUGUCUUAUGAUUUUUUUUUUUGAGGGGGGUUUCCUUGUGCUAAUUUCUUAAAACAUGGGAACGAUGC
RNAcentral lists this long non-coding RNA (202 nucleotides) under Elaeis guineensis (African oil palm). RNAcentral describes it as "long non-coding RNA (EGUI_LNC076887)". Lineage: Eukaryota; Viridiplantae; Streptophyta; Magnoliopsida; Arecales; Arecaceae. The record is from RNAcentral.